RNAcentral lists this long non-coding RNA (618 nucleotides) under Anas platyrhynchos platyrhynchos (common mallard). Its description in RNAcentral is "lncRNA (ENSAPLG00000027077.1)". Lineage: Eukaryota; Metazoa; Chordata; Aves; Anseriformes; Anatidae. The record is from RNAcentral.
CCCCACACCUUCCUCUCAGGCAGUUGCAAUGAGGUCUCCCCUGAGCCCCUCAAACACAAACACACUCCUUCAUACACCUUAAGUUGUGUACAGCUGAGGCGAAUUCCAGGAGCACACUUCUUUGCCCAAAGAACAAACCUUCCCAAACAGUUCUGGCUAUUCGAGCUCAUCUCUCCUUCUGUAACUAAAGUGAUGGCUGACAGAAGGGGGAAAGAGAGAGACUCAGCGACUGAUUCCUGUAAAGCACCAACACUAAGAGGCAUGUAGGGUCAUUGCAGCUCAGGCUACCAAGGAGUGUACCCAAAACACCCUUUCAGCGCUAGCAAUUCCCAGCUGCUGUCAUAGUCCUUUGCAACCACCGGCUGCUGAUGUGAUUGGGAAUGGGCUGCCCAGCCCACAGCAACAACAGCGGGACUGCAACACUGGGUCGAGGCAGCUGUGCUACACUCUUCUUCAGAGGCACCCAAACUGCUCCAUCUGAAUAAGGAGACCGUGUAUCCUUCUUCAAAGUACUGGGCGUACAAUGCCUGGCACUUCAUUUCAGCAUCCCCUAAGCUGACAGUUCCUGGCUUUGCUGUUCUUUUCACAGCUUCAAGAACUGAUUCACCCUGCUGCUUA